GGGCCCGUAGCUCAGCCUGGCAGAGCGGCGGGCUUUUAAGCGGAGGAGACCCGUAGGCCCCGGGUUCAAAUCCCGGCGGGCCCGCCA
RNAcentral lists this transfer RNA (87 nucleotides) under Thermodiscus sp. RNAcentral describes it as "tRNA-Lys". It matches the Rfam family "tRNA". Rfam says of the family: Transfer RNA (tRNA) molecules are approximately 80 nucleotides in length. The record is from RNAcentral. Lineage: Archaea; Thermoproteati; Thermoproteota; Thermoprotei; Acidilobales; Acidilobaceae.